AUUGAACGCUGGCGGCAGGCCUAACACAUGCAAGUCGAGCGGAUGCAGGGAGCUUGCUCCUGGAUUCAGCGGCGGACGGGUGAGUAAUGCCUAGGAAUCUGCCUGGUAGUGGGGGAUAACGUCCGGAAACGGGCGCUAAUACCGCAUACGUCCUGAGGGAGAAAGUGGGGGAUCUUCGGACCUCACGCUAUCAGAUGAGCCUAGGUCGGAUUAGCUAGUUGGUGGGGUAAAGGCCUACCAAGGCGACGAUCCGUAACUGGUCUGAGAGGAUGAUCAGUCACACUGGAACUGAGACACGGUCCAGACUCCUACGGGAGGCAGCAGUGGGGAAUAUUGGACAAUGGGCGAAAGCCUGAUCCAGCCAUGCCGCGUGUGUGAAGAAGGUCUUCGGAUUGUAAAGCACUUUAAGUUGGGAGGAAGGGCAGUAAGUUAAUACCUUGCUGUUUUGACGUUACCAACAGAAUAAGCACCGGCUAACUUCGUG
This 484-nucleotide ribosomal RNA is filed under the name uncultured bacterium. RNAcentral's name for it is "partial 16S ribosomal RNA". It matches the Rfam family "Bacterial small subunit ribosomal RNA", at positions 30 to 507 of the family's 1533-position model. The record is from RNAcentral.